RNAcentral lists this ribosomal RNA (207 nucleotides) under uncultured bacterium. Its description in RNAcentral is "partial 16S ribosomal RNA". It matches the Rfam family "Bacterial small subunit ribosomal RNA", at positions 568 to 774 of the family's 1533-position model. The record is from RNAcentral.
CACGUAGGCGGCGCGGCCAGUCAGAGGUGAAAGCCCCGGGCUCAACCUGGGAAUUGCCUUUGAUACUGCCGUGCUAGAGUCCAUCAGAGGGUGGCGGAAUACCCAGUGUAGAGGUGAAAUUCGUAGAUAUUGGGUAGAACACCAGUGGCGAAGGCGGCCACCUGGGAUGGUACUGACGCUGAGGUGCGAAAGCGUGGGGAGCAAACA